This 117-nucleotide non-coding RNA is filed under the name Theropithecus gelada (gelada). Lineage: Eukaryota; Metazoa; Chordata; Mammalia; Primates; Cercopithecidae. The record is from Rfam by way of RNAcentral.
GCCAGGCGCGGUGGCUCACGCCUGUAAUCCCAGCACUUUGGGAGGCUGAGGCGGGUGGAUCACCUGAGGUCGGGAGUUCGAGACCAGCCUGACCAACAUGGAGAAACCCCGUCUCUA